CCGACACCGCCCCUUCCCCGGACCAGACCCCCUCCGCUCCCGGGGGGGCCCCCUGGACUCCAGGAGCCCCACUCCUUCCUCUUCAGUGCGAGUGAGCACGAGCCUGGACUUUCGGGGACUCCCUUCCCCUAGCCUCGCAGAGACCUUCAGUGGCUCCCCGCCCCCCGUCCCGCCGCACAGACGUGGCUGCUGGGGGGGGCCAGGGGGUGCGGUAUAAAGGGAGGGAGGCAGCGCGGGCGAGACCCGAGACGUGGCGCGUCCACUCUGAUGGCCUCGACUCCAGCCAUGUGGUUAAACUGCCCCCUCAGAGGAGAGUAGCAGGGAGGGCGCUGCUGGAUGCUGGAUGCUCCCAGAAGAGAUCCCGAUGCUGCUGUGGCUCGCAAGUGACCUUAAAAGGAACCCUUGCCAUGUGUGAGCCUUAGGAUGCAACGAGCUUGUAUUAAUAUCCUGAAAAACCUCAGCCCGGAAAGCGUGGUUCUGGAUGUUUACAUCUUAACUGGAUUUUCCUACCAGAGAGCCAGGGCACAUUACAGUCUUCAUCCUCAAGUAUUCUCUUUUCAGUCCUGUUUUUCUUCUUUUAUAUCCAUGGCAUCCAAGAAUUGACAAAAAAGUGCUAGAUCAUCUGAUCGACCCCAUCAGUUGUUUUCUUAACAUGGCCAGACAUAGGUAAAAAGAUAUGUCAUUUUAUGCCCCACUCAAAUUGCCUAGUCCUAUUUCUUGUUCAUGUAUUUUAAGUCUUUGGAAGACCCAUGGUUAUGGUUACAGGUGACACUGUGCUGCUCCCCAAGGUUUGGACAGAUGAAGAAUCACCAAGAGGGCUGAGUUCAGGGACUCAUCAGCUCUUCCCUGCAUCCCUUGAGCUCCACCAGAAACUCUUUAGGGUUUUUUUUUUUA
This is a long non-coding RNA of Camelus dromedarius (Arabian camel), 894 nucleotides long. RefSeq lists it as uncharacterized. Lineage: Eukaryota; Metazoa; Chordata; Mammalia; Artiodactyla; Camelidae. The transcript has 2 exons. The record is from RefSeq and is a predicted model, not a curated record.